AUGUUGGAGAGUUUGAUCCUGGCUCAGAACGAACGCUGGCGGCACGCCUAACACAUGCAAGUCGAACGGUAACAGGGACUUCGGUCCGCUGACGAGUGGCGAACGGGUGAGUAACACGUGGAGACCUGCCCUAGGGUACGGGACAACAGUUAGAAAUGACUGCUAAUACCGUAUACGUCCUACGGGAGAAAGAUUUAUUGCCCUUGGAGGGGUCCGCGUCGGAUUAGCUAGUUGGUGGGGUAACGGCCUACCAAGGCGACGAUCCGUAGCUGUUCUUAGAGGAAGAUCAGCCACACUGGGACUGAGACACGGCCCAGACUCCUAC
Molecule: ribosomal RNA, 325 nt
Filed under: Magnetococcales bacterium
Lineage: Bacteria; Pseudomonadati; Pseudomonadota; Magnetococcia; Magnetococcales
Description: bacterial SSU rRNA
Rfam family: Bacterial small subunit ribosomal RNA
Source: RNAcentral